This 234-nucleotide long non-coding RNA is filed under the name Actinidia chinensis (golden kiwifruit). Its description in RNAcentral is "long non-coding RNA (ACHI_LNC001528)". The record is from RNAcentral. Lineage: Eukaryota; Viridiplantae; Streptophyta; Magnoliopsida; Ericales; Actinidiaceae.
AAUUGCAUGCUAUUUAUAUUGACCAUACAUGAGGACUUAUCUGACAUAGUAGGGUAUGGACCCAAUAGAGAUGGUACUGCUUCCAUAGGGGAACUGACAGACUCUGCCACUUCCUCAAUCAGGGGGACCUUGGAUCUGACAUCACCGCCAUUAUCCCUCUUUGUAAGAGACUGCAUACUUGAAUCAUCCAAAGGUUUAUGCAAAGAAGAGGCCUCUACUUUACAUCCUAGACAA